AUAUAAUAAUCAUUAAAUAACAUUUCAACUUAAUUUUCUAUGCUAAAUUUUAUUCAAUAAAAACAAUCACAGAAAUUUCAAUUUUCUUACAGCUGUUAAGAUAACUUCCAUUUUUGGAUUCAUAUUUGAACAAAGUAAAAUUCUAACUAGCAAACAAUUUAAACAUCUUCUCAAAUUUAAAACUUAUAAUUUGUUGCACAUGAAAGUCAUCAUAAUACAGGAGUUGUAAAAAUAGUACAUUCUAUAACAUGACUGGUAUCUUAGUACAGAAAUAUAUCAGUAGGUCAACAUGGCCAGGCAAUUCAUAAGUAUGUCAACAUAGUGCAGUAUAUAUUAGUAAGUCAACAUGAUAAGGCAAUACAUCAGGCAAUAUAUCAGUAAGUCAACAUGGUCAGGCAAUCAAUCAGUAAGUCAACAUGGACAGGCAAUAUAUCAGUAAGCCAACAUGGUCAGGCAAUAUAUCAUUAAGUCAAUAUGGUCAGGCAAUAUAUCAUUAAGUCAAUAUGGUCAGGCAACAUAUCAGUAAGCCAACAUGGUCAGGCAACAUAUCAGUAAGUCAACAUGGUCAGGCAAUAUAUCAUUAAGUCAAUAUGGUCAGGCAAUAAAUCAGUAAGUCAACAUGGUCAGGCAAUCAAUCAGUAAGUCAACAUGGACAGGCAACAUAUCAGUAAGCAAACAUGGUCAGUCUACAUAUCAGUAAGUCAUCAUGGUCAGGCAAUAUAUCAUUAAGUCAAUAUGGUCAGGCAAUAAAUCAGUAAGUCAACAUGGUCAGGCAACAUAUCAGUAAGUCAACGUGGUCAGGGAACAUAUCAGUAUGUCAACAUUGUCAGGCAACAUAUCAGUAAGUCAACAGGGUCAGGCAAUCAAUCAGUAAUUCAACAAGGUCAGGCAAUAUAUCAGUAAGUCAACAUGGUCAGGCAAUAUAUCAGCAAGUCAACAUGGUCAGCCAACAUAUCAGUUAGUCAACAAGGUCAGGCAAUAUGUCAGUAAGGUAAGUCAGGCAACAUAUCAGUAA
Molecule: long non-coding RNA, 1015 nt
Organism: Mytilus californianus (California mussel)
Lineage: Eukaryota; Metazoa; Mollusca; Bivalvia; Mytilida; Mytilidae
Exons: 2
Source: RefSeq, a predicted model, not a curated record